CGGGUGCACUGAUCCAGCCGGGCCUUUCCCUCUGUGGAACCCCAUGGCCUUCACUGGCUGUGGUGGGGAAACAGGACUUUUACUUUGAAAAAAUUAGAGUGCUCCAGGCAGGCCUAUGCUCGAAUACAUUAGCAUGGAAUAAUAGAAUAGGACGUGUGGUUCUAUUUUGUUGGUUUCUAGGACCGCCGUAAUGAUUAAUAGGGACAGUCGGGGGCAUCAGUAUUCAAUUGUCAGAGGUGAAAUUCUUGGAUCUAUUGAAGACUAACUACUGCGAAAGCAUUUGCCAAGGAUGUUUUCAUUGAUAAGGAACGAAAGUUAGGGGAUCGAAGGCGAUCAGAUACCGUCGUAGUCUUAACUAUAAACUAUGCCGACUAGGGAUCGGACGAUGUUAUUCUUUGACGCGUUCGGCACCUUUCGAGAAAUCAAAGUGCUUGGGCUCCAGGGGGAGUAUGGUCGCAAGGCUGAAACUUAAAGAAAUUGACGGAAGGGCACCACCAGGGGUGGAACCUGCGGCUUAAUUUGACUCAACACGGGGAAACUCACCAGGUCCAGACACAGUGAGGAUUGACAGAUUGAGAGCUCUUUCUUGAUUCUGUGGGUGGUGGUGCAUGGCCGUUCUUAGUUGGUGGAGUGAUUUGUCUGCUUAAUUGCGAUAACGAACGAGACCUUAACCUGCUAAAUAGCCCGUACUGCUUUGGCAGUUCGCCGGCUUCUUAGAGGGACUAUCGG
RNAcentral lists this ribosomal RNA (729 nucleotides) under uncultured eukaryote. RNAcentral's name for it is "SSU rRNA". It matches the Rfam family "Eukaryotic small subunit ribosomal RNA", at positions 670 to 1426 of the family's 1831-position model. The record is from RNAcentral.